This is a non-coding RNA of Canis lupus familiaris (dog), 104 nucleotides long. The record is from Rfam. NCBI's taxonomy places the organism in Eukaryota, Metazoa, Chordata, Mammalia, Carnivora, Canidae.
AGGAGCAACAGCCCUAGUGGCGGGGCAGCUCUGCAGCCCUGGAUUCAGCUCCGGCAGGAACUCCGGAGCUCUCCGUCUGCAGGGCCUGGAGGCUCCGGGGCGGG